CAUACUUUAAUUUAAAUCCACACACAUUUCGUCACAUGUUCCGGGGUGCUUGAGUAAUCAUUCAUACCAAGUCGGAACCAUGGGAAAUGUGGAGGCCUAAC
Small RNA from Vibrio maritimus, 101 nucleotides. It matches the Rfam family "t44 RNA". From Rfam's summary of the family: This family consists of a number of bacterial RNA genes of between 135 and 170 bases in length. The t44 gene is found between the map and rpsB genes in all species in the full alignment apart from Shigella flexneri. The record is from Rfam. NCBI's taxonomy places the organism in Bacteria, Pseudomonadati, Pseudomonadota, Gammaproteobacteria, Vibrionales, Vibrionaceae.